AUCUUUACAAAAGCGCGACAAUGAUUAUUUUCUACUAAUCACAAAGAUAUUGGAACUUUAUAUUUAAUUUUUGGAGCUUGAUCAGCUAUAGUUGGAACAGCUCUAAGAAUACUAAUUCGAGCUGAACUUGGUCAACCGGGUAGACUAAUUGGAGAUGAUCAAAUUUAUAAUGUAAUUGUUACAGCUCACGCUUUUAUUAUAAUUUUUUUUAUAGUUAUACCUAUUAUGAUUGGAGGUUUUGGAAACUGACUUCUACCGUUAAUGUUAGGAGCACCAGAUAUGGCUUUCCCUCGAUUAAAUAAUAUAAGAUUCUGGCUUCUUCCUCCAGCUUUAAUAUUAUUAAUUAGUGGUUCUUUAGUAGAGGCGGGGGCUGGAACAGGAUGAACAGUUUACCCUCCUUUAUCAAGUAACAUUGCUCAUUCUGGUGCUUCAGUUGACUUAUCAAUUUUCUCUUUACAUUUAGCAGGUGCUUCGUCAAUUUUAGGUGCCAUUAAUUUUAUGUCUACAGUUAUUAACAUACGAGCUGAAACACUGACAUUUGAUCGACUUCCAUUAUUUGUCUGAAGAGUAUUUAUUACUGUAAUUCUUUUACUUUUAUCACUUCCAGUACUAGCAGGAGCUAUUACUAUGUUGCUAACAGAUCGAAAUCUAAAUACCUCAUUUUUUGAUCCAACAGGAGGUGGAGAUCCAAUCUUAUACCAACAUCUAUUUUGGUUUUUUGGGCAUCCUGAGGUUUAUAUUUUAAUUUUACCAGCUUUUGGAAUGAUUUCACAUAUUGUAGCCAGUGAAAGUGGUAAAAAAGAAUCUUUUGGAACUUUAGGAAUAAUUUAUGCUAUGAUUGCAAUUGGAAUUUUAGGGUUUGUUGUAUGAGCUCACCACAUGUUUACAGUUGGAAUAGACGUUGAUACUCGAGCAUAUUUUACUUCUGCUACUAUAAUUAUUGCUGUGCCUACAGGAAUUAAAGUCUUUAGUUGACUUGGAACUUUACACGGUACACAAUUUUCUUAUAGCCCUCCUCUUCUUUGAGCUUUAGGAUUUCUAUUUUUAUUUACUGUUGGAGGGGUAACAGGAGUAGUUCUUGCUAAUUCAUCUAUUGAUAUUGUUCUUCAUGAUACAUAUUACGUAGUAGCUCACUUCCAUUACGUCCUAUCUAUGGGGGCUGUAUUUGGUAUUAUAGCCGGAGCAGUCUACUGAUUUCCAUUGUUAACAGGAAUUACUAUGAAACCAAAAUGAUUAAAAAUUCAUUUUGGAUCUAUAUUUAUUGGAGUUAAUGUAACUUUCUUUCCUCAGCACUUUUUAGGGUUAGCGGGUAUACCUCGACGAUAUUCAGACUAUCCAGAUGCUUAUACUGCAUGAAAUGUAGUUUCAUCAAUUGGUUCUACCUUAUCUUUUAUUAGAGCUUUAGGGUUUAUUUAUAUUAUUUGAGAGGCUAUGGUUUCUCAACGACCUACAAUUUUUAGACCAAAUCUAUCCUCUAACUUAGAAUGAGUUCACACUACUCCUCCUCAUUACCAUAGUUACGACGAAUUACCUCAGUUUACAAUUCGAUA
RNAcentral lists this unclassified non-coding RNA (1550 nucleotides) under Amphibalanus amphitrite. RNAcentral's name for it is "cytochrome c oxidase subunit 1". Lineage: Eukaryota; Metazoa; Arthropoda; Thecostraca; Balanomorpha; Balanidae. The record is from RNAcentral.